This is a small nuclear RNA of Octodon degus (degu), 197 nucleotides long. RefSeq annotates it as U2 spliceosomal RNA. The transcript has a single exon. Lineage: Eukaryota; Metazoa; Chordata; Mammalia; Rodentia; Octodontidae. The record is from RefSeq and is a predicted model, not a curated record.
AUUGCUUCUUGGCCUUUUGGCUAAGAUCAAGUGUAGUAUCUUUUCUUACCAGUUUAAUAGAUCUUGCUAAAUAUAGUUCAUAAAAAGGUGCUGAGUUAAUAUUUUUAAGUAAUAAGAAACAAUACUUUAACGAAUAGACUUUUUUUUUUUUUGUGGAACCGGGGAUUGAACUGAGGCCCUUGCACUUGCCAGGGAAG